GAUGAACGCUGGCGGCGUGCUUAACACAUGCAAGUCGAACGAGGUUACUGCAGUUGAAGUUUUCGGAUGGAUACAGCUUUAACCGAGUGGCGGACGGGUGAGUAACGCGUGGGAAACCUGCCCUGUUCCGGGGGAUACCAGUUGGAAACGACUGUUAAUACCGCAUAAGCGCACAGUGCCGCAUGGUACAGUGUGAAAAACUCCGGUGGAACAGGAUGGUCCCGCGUCUGAUUAGGCAGUUGGCGGGGUAACGGCCCACCAAACCGACGAUCAGUAGCCGACCUGAGAGGGUGACCGGCCACAUUGGGACUGAGACACGGCCCAAACUCC
Molecule: ribosomal RNA, 330 nt
Filed under: uncultured Lachnospiraceae bacterium
Lineage: Bacteria; Bacillati; Bacillota; Clostridia; Lachnospirales; Lachnospiraceae
Description: bacterial SSU rRNA
Rfam family: Bacterial small subunit ribosomal RNA
Source: RNAcentral